GUAACGCCGCGUGGAGGAUGAAGGCCCUCGGGUUGUAAACUCCUGUCAGAAGGAAUGAAGGUUAGCAGAAGAUAACGCUGUCUAAUCUGACAGUACCUUCAAAGGAAGCCCCGGCUAAUUCCGUGCCAGCAGCCUCGGUAGUACGGAAGGGGCAAGCGUUGUUCGGAAUUAUUGGGCGUAAAGGGCGCGUAGGUGGUCCUAUAUGUCUGCUGUGAAAGGGUACGGCUCAACCGUGCUUGGUCGGUGGAAACUGUAGGACUUGAGGCUGGGAGGGGCUAGUGGAAUUCCCCGUGUAGCGGUGAAAUGCGUAGAGAUGGGGGAGAACACUCGUGGCGAAGGCGGCUAGCUGGACCAGUCCUGACACUGAUGCGCGACAGCGUGGGGAGCAAACAGGAUUAGAUACCCUGGUAGUCCACGCCGUAAACGAUGGGCACUAGGUGCCGGCGGUCAUUAUCCCGUCGGUGCCGGCGCUAACGCAGUAAGUGCCCCGCCUGGGGAGUACGGUCGCAAGGCUG
This 515-nucleotide ribosomal RNA is filed under the name uncultured bacterium. Its description in RNAcentral is "bacterial SSU rRNA". It matches the Rfam family "Bacterial small subunit ribosomal RNA", at positions 391 to 896 of the family's 1533-position model. The record is from RNAcentral.